Molecule: ribosomal RNA, 796 nt
Filed under: uncultured bacterium
Lineage: Bacteria
Description: bacterial SSU rRNA
Rfam family: Bacterial small subunit ribosomal RNA
Source: RNAcentral
AGAGUUUGAUCCUGGCUCAGAUUGAACGCUGGCGGCAGGCCUAACACAUGCAAGUCGAGCGGCAGCACGGGUACUUGUACCUGGUGGCGAGCGGCGGACGGGUGAGUAAUGCCUAGGAAUCUGCCUGGUAGUGGGGGAUAACGCUCGGAAACGGACGCUAAUACCGCAUACGUCCUACGGGAGAAAGCAGGGGACCUUCGGGCCUUGCGCUAUCAGAUGAGCCUAGGUCGGAUUAGCUAGUUGGUAGGGUAAAGGCCUACCAAGGCGACGAUGGGUAGCUGGUCUGAGAGGACGAUCAGCCACACUGGAACUGGUACACGGUCCAGACUCCUACGGGAGGCAGCAGUGAGGAAUAUUGCGCAAUGGGGGAAACCCUGACGCAGCGAUGCCGCGUGGGUGAAGAAGGCCUUCGGGUCGUAAAGCCCUGUCAGGCGGGAAGAAUAGCCUGGGGACGAAUAAUCCCCAGGUGUGACGGUACCGCUGAAGGAAGCACCGGCUAACUCCGUGCCAGCAGCCGCGGUAAGACGGAGGGUGCGAGCGUUAUUCGGAAUUAUUGGGCGUAAAGGGUGUGCAGGCGGCCGGACAAGUCAGAGGUGAAAGCCCGGGGCUCAACCUCGGAAGUGCCUUUGAAACUGUUUGGCUUGAGUUCGGGAGAGGGAAGCGGAAUUCCGGGUGUAGAGGUGAAAUUCGUAGAUAUCCGGAGGAACACCGGUGGCGAAGGCGGCUUCCUGGACCGAAACUGACGCUGAGACACGAAAGCGUGGGGAGCAAACAGGAUUAGAUACCCUGGUAGUCC